RNAcentral lists this ribosomal RNA (554 nucleotides) under Candida tropicalis. RNAcentral describes it as "eukaryotic LSU rRNA". The stretch from base 196 to 349 matches the Rfam family "5.8S ribosomal RNA". The record is from RNAcentral. Lineage: Eukaryota; Fungi; Ascomycota; Pichiomycetes; Serinales; Debaryomycetaceae.
UGGAAGGAAAAAAGCGUAACAAGGUUUCCGUAGGUGAACCUGCGGAAGGAUCAUUACUGAUUUGCUUAAUUGCACCACAUGUGUUUUUUAUUGAACAAAUUUCUUUGGUGGCGGGAGCAAUCCUACCGCCAGAGGUUAUAACUAAACCAAACUUUUUAUUUACAGUCAAACUUGAUUUAUUAUUACAAUAGUCAAAACUUUCAACAACGGAUCUCUUGGUUCUCGCAUCGAUGAAGAACGCAGCGAAAUGCGAUACGUAAUAUGAAUUGCAGAUAUUCGUGAAUCAUCGAAUCUUUGAACGCACAUUGCGCCCUUUGGUAUUCCAAAGGGCAUGCCUGUUUGAGCGUCAUUUCUCCCUCAAACCCCCGGGUUUGGUGUUGAGCAAUACGCUAGGUUUGUUUGAAAGAAUUUAACGUGGAAACUUAUUUUAAGCGACUUAGGUUUAUCCAAAAACGCUUAUUUUGCUAGUGGCCACCACAAUUUAUUUCAUAACUUUGACCUCAAAUCAGGUAGGACUACCCGCUGAACUUAAGCAUAUCAAAAGGCGGGAGAAA